Molecule: long non-coding RNA, 732 nt
Filed under: Homo sapiens (human)
Lineage: Eukaryota; Metazoa; Chordata; Mammalia; Primates; Hominidae
Description: HSALNT0193651
Source: RNAcentral
AAUGCCAAUCUCCUCCACUUUGCUCCAAGUUUCAGUGGCCCCUCCACAAUAAAAGAUAGCUGUUUGUGGAGGCUGCCUUGUUCCAUACCAUUAACUCAGAACAAAACAUAUUUUUAGUGGGACAGCAGUGUUUACUUGUAAGAACUGAUGAAUUGCUCGGCACCAUUUAUCACUUGCAGACAAAGACGUUCAGCCACGAUUUUGGACAUAAAUCAAGGUACAUGCUCCUCAAUAAGAAAAAAAGACUGCUAAGUCCCCAAAACCACGGAGAUUGAGGUCAGACUGGCCAUAGCAACCACCAACAGGACUUGGGCCUCCAGAAGGACCUAGCAACCGAUAAAUGAGUUCAGAUCUCUUUUCAUCUCCACUGGUGUGAAAGCCAAAAUUAAAAAGAUUAGAUCACCCUGCACCCAUUACAAAAGGUGCCACAAUGAAAAAGUCAUUUCCAGCCUUUGAAUCACAUCAAAUAAAUAACAUUCAUCCCUGCUAUAAUGAACAACUUUCAAAGUAAAUUGAAUCUCCAUAGUACUGCUUUCCCUGGCUGAACAGUAUUUACAUAACAAUAUAUCACAGGAAGCUCCGAAUGGAUCUUGUAAAUGGGGACCUGGGGAUAAAAACCAUCUUUAGCCCCGAUUACUGCAUAUUCAGACUGCUUUUCGGUCCCCCUCAUUUAAACAAUGUGUUGUAUCAGGAACAUAAACAAUGCUUUUAAAUUGUGGGAAAUGAAAGUUU